Molecule: long non-coding RNA, 200 nt
Filed under: Homo sapiens (human)
Lineage: Eukaryota; Metazoa; Chordata; Mammalia; Primates; Hominidae
Description: HSALNT0319781
Source: RNAcentral
GCCCACCUUGCUCGCAGGUGCCCUUGCUGACCUGGGUGAUGGCCUUCUCCCCGCGGCUCUCGGCCCUCUGGCUGGCGGCGCGCAGCUGGCAGCCGCUCGGGCAGCCCAGCGGGGGCAGGGGCGGGCAGGAGGCCGGCUCGCAGGGGCCGCAGGUGUCCGAAGAGGAGGAAGAGGAGAGGGGCAGGAGCAGGAGCAGCAGC